GAAACUCAAAUGAAGUUGACGGGGCCCCGCACAAGCAGCGGAGCGUGUGGUUUAAUUCGAUGCUACACGAAGAGCCUUACCAGGGUUUGACAUACAAGUAGUAGGGAAAGGAAACUGGACCGACCCUUCGGGGAGCUUGUACAGGUGCUGCAUGGCUGUCGUCAGCUCGUGUCGUGAGAUGUUCGGUUAAGUCCGCUAACGAGCGCAACCCUCGCUGUGUGUUACAAGUGUCACACGGAACUGCCGGUCAUAAACCGGAGGAAGGUGGGGAUGACGUCAAGUCAGCAUGGCCUUUAUAUCCUGGGCUACACACACGCUACAAUGGGAAGGGACAAUAGGUUGCGAAGCCGCGAGGCGGAGCCAAUCCAGCAAAACUUCCCUCAGUUCAGAUUGCAGGCUGCAACUCGCCUGCAUGAAGUUGGAGUUGCUAGUAAACGCAGGUCAGCCAUACUGCGUUGAAUACGUUCCCGGGGCUU
RNAcentral lists this ribosomal RNA (476 nucleotides) under uncultured Anaerolineaceae bacterium. RNAcentral's name for it is "bacterial SSU rRNA". It matches the Rfam family "Bacterial small subunit ribosomal RNA", at positions 896 to 1382 of the family's 1533-position model. The record is from RNAcentral. Lineage: Bacteria; Bacillati; Chloroflexota; Anaerolineae; Anaerolineales; Anaerolineaceae.